UACGGAGGGGGCUAGCGUUGUCCGGAUUUACUGGGCGUAAAGAGCGCGUAGGCGGCUCGUUAAGUGUGAAGUGAAAUCUCCAGGGCUCAACCCGGAAACUGCUUUACAUACUGGCGAGCUGGAGUGAUGAAGAGGUUUGUGGAAUUCCUGGUGUAGCGGUGAAAUGCGUUGAUAUCAGGAGGAACACCCAUGGCGAAGGCAGCAAACUGGUCAUCAACUGACGCUGAGGCGCGAAAGCGUGGGUAGCAAACAGG
This 254-nucleotide ribosomal RNA is filed under the name uncultured bacterium. Its description in RNAcentral is "partial 16S ribosomal RNA". It matches the Rfam family "Bacterial small subunit ribosomal RNA", at positions 524 to 776 of the family's 1533-position model. The record is from RNAcentral.